GAGUUUGAUCAUGGCUCAGGACGAACGCUGGCGGCGUGCCUAACACAUGCAAGUCGAGCGGGGUCCAUCCAGUGGCAACACUGGUGAAGACCUAGCGGCGAACGGGUGAGUAACACGUGAGAAACCUGCCCUGAAGUCUGGGAUAACCCGAGGAAACUCGAGCUAAUACCGGAUGCCCCCACCGAGUCGCAUGGCUUGGUGAGGAAAGAUUCAUCGCUUCAGGAGGGUCUCGCGGCCUAUCAGCUAGUUGGCGGGGUAACGGCCCACCAAGGCAUCGACGGGUAGCUGGUCUGAGAGGACGAUCAGCCACACUGGGACUGAGACACGGCCCAGACUCCUACGGGAGGCAGCAGUGGGAAUAUUGCGCAAUGGGCGAAAGCCUGACGCAGCAACGCCGCGUGCGGGAUGAAGGCCUUCGGGUUGUAAACCGCUUUCAGUGGGGACGAAAACAGACGGUACCCACAGAAGAAGCCCCGGCCAACUACGUGCCAGCAGCCGCGGUAACACGUAGGGGGCGAGCGUUGUCCGGAUUUAUUGGGCGUAAAGAGCUCGUAGGCGGCUCGGUAAGUGAGGUGUGAAAACUCCAGGCUCAACCUGGAGACGCCACCUCAUACUGCC
RNAcentral lists this ribosomal RNA (618 nucleotides) under uncultured Actinomycetes bacterium. RNAcentral describes it as "bacterial SSU rRNA". It matches the Rfam family "Bacterial small subunit ribosomal RNA", at positions 9 to 637 of the family's 1533-position model. The record is from RNAcentral. Lineage: Bacteria; Bacillati; Actinomycetota; Actinomycetes.